This 309-nucleotide ribosomal RNA is filed under the name uncultured bacterium. RNAcentral describes it as "partial 16S ribosomal RNA". It matches the Rfam family "Bacterial small subunit ribosomal RNA", at positions 504 to 807 of the family's 1533-position model. The record is from RNAcentral.
AGAGACAGCAGUAGCCGCGGGAAUACAGAGGGUGCGAGCGUUAAUCGGAUUUACUGGGCGUAAAGCGUGCGUAGGCGGCUUCUUAAGUCGGAUGUGAAAUCCCUGAGCUUAACUUAGGAAUUGCAUUCGAUACUGGGAAGCUAGAGUAUGGGAGAGGAUGGUAGAAUUCCAGGUGUAGCGGUGAAAUGCGUAGAGAUCUGGAGGAAUACCGAUGGCGAAGGCAGCCAUCUGGCCUAAUACUGACGCUGAGGUACGAAAGCAUGGGGAGCAAACAGGAUUAGAUACCCGUGUAGUCCCUGUCUCUUAUAC